Molecule: long non-coding RNA, 2912 nt
Filed under: Theobroma cacao (cacao)
Lineage: Eukaryota; Viridiplantae; Streptophyta; Magnoliopsida; Malvales; Malvaceae
Description: long non-coding RNA (TCAC_LNC005017)
Source: RNAcentral
UUGUGUUUGAGUAAGCAUAGACAAUAAUUAUUGGACACAAUGCCACCAUAAUAAAUGUAAGACAAAUAAAUGCCACUCAAAAUAUAUUUCUCAUUAAAAAUUCACUAUUUCCUUCUUUUCGAAAAUUAAUAUCCACUUUCACUUUUUUCUGAAUCAAACAAAAAUAACUUUAAUCAUUAUCUAUUACAAUUUUAUUAAUAAUUAAAAUUUUAAAAAUUAAGGUUUUAAAAAUUUUUCUCUAUCCAAUUGUAUAACAUUCUGGUUACACUAGUUCUUUCACUCGUAAAAGAAAAAGACUCAUCUUGAUCCAAACUUACUUUAAUGUUACAUUAGCUCUUUCACUCAUAGAAGGAGGGGAUCACUUUACUCUGAAUCUACCUCGACUUUGAUAAUUCUCAUGAGACGUCACCCAUUAAUAAAGAGUUGAGUAUUUACCUAUGCUGUGGUGUCAGUUUUUUUAUAUUUACUUCUACUGCAGGAGGUAUUCUCUGCCUCCAUCUCCUAAUUCUGAGCUUGGGUACCGCGGCAUCUUUUUUGUCCACUGCAGGCUUGUACAAAGAGAGGGUAUGCCCUCUUUUAGUUGUCUUUCCUUCUUGAUUAAUGAAAUAUUUAUUACAAUUUAAAAAAAAUAAAUAAAUAAUUGAGUAAAUUCUAAUAUUAUCUAUCACGAAUCAAUAUUUUUAAUUAAAAAAAUAUAUCUAUAAGGUGAAAAAAUUAUUUUAUCUUUUAAACGUAGCAAUGAGGGGUCCGGUGCUAUUGCUCGUCGGACAGGAAACUAAUUAAUUCUGCAUGCCAGUUUAUUUAGUCCCCCGGAGGGUGAACGUGUUGCACAUAUCAUUGGAAGUAGACAUGUAACGUGGUGUAUCGGCCACCAUACGUUAUUGGAUGGAUAUUUUAAUCUUUUUAAUAAAUUGUCUCCUUGUCGACAGUGUACAUUUUGUUCUUCUUCCUGCAAAGAGAUGUAGGAAUAAUACAAAGAAAGCAAGAGUUACAAGGUAAGAACCGAGGCUAUGUUAAGCAGAUUCAAGCAGCGUUCUUACCUGGGCCUAGCCAGGAAGAUACGUCGAUCGAGGAGCUGGAAAAAUAGAGACCCGUCAGGUUGUUACCAACACGUGACAUCUUUUGUCUAUUAUACCAACGUACAUGCAUUAUUGAUAUGCACAGUGUACUGGAACCCAAGAGAAGACUGAAAUUGUUCACUUUCACUCAUUUGCAUUGUCAUGGCGACUGCUAUGAGUAGCCUUUGUUCUUUCUCUUCUGUGUUGGGCUUUUCUUACACUCAGCCAAUUUGUUUCUUAUGAGCUUAUCUCUUCCAUGUCCUUGCAAUCUCGUUUCAGCCAAUACCUUCCCAUAUUAAUAAUCUUUCCAAGAUUACAUCACGGGAAUUCAUCUAGAGCGAGCGUUUUAAUUCCAUAUGAAGUUCACGAAUUAACAAAAUUAAAUCAAAUUUGUUUAUAAAUAUUAAUUAAUAAAUUUGUUCGGAAGCUUGGGUCCCCUCUAUAAAUUAUUUUUUUAAUUAAUCAAUCUUGAUUGAGGAAUUAGUCUCAACUUCUUUUUCUUCAAUGACCAAUAUCUCCUACGCAUUGGCCCCCAACAGAGAUUAGGACGAUGACAAUGACUUAACUUGUACAUGCAAUAAUGCAUAUAAACAGCUCCCUUAGUGCUUUCUAAAUAUAAUAUACACGGCAUCAUGCUUUCUUAAACUAUCAACUUACUUUAUUAAAAAUCAUUUGAUGGUUAUAUAGAAAAUUUAAAGUGAAUCUCUCUCUUUUUUCUUUUGUACAAAUUAAUAUUAAAUUUUACUUUUGUAAAACAAAAAGAAAGGUUUUUUUAUACUAAAGAAGAUAACUUACUUUUAUUUUGCAAACCGCGUUCAAAUUAUAUUAAAUCUCAAAUUUCAACGUUACUUUUUUUUUCUUAAAAGCGUUGUAGUUCAUAGUAAUUGAUUAAUCAAGAUUUAUAUUGAAAAUGUCUAUUAAGUCUCUAAUCUUUAAAUUGUAAGUAAAAGAUUGAAUAGCGUAUAACUCAUCCUAUCUUGAUGUACAUAAAUUUCAAUUUAUGAAAAUAAAAGUUUAUUAUACCUUAUAUAAUCUAACAAUUUAUGGUAAUCGAUAAAAACCAAGUAGUACAUCCUGAUCUCAAAAUUAUUCUCGAGAUCUCUCCAAUUUGACACCCAUAACAUCUCUAUAUCAUCAAAUCCCACAAAAGUCGACAAGCUAGUAAUAAACAUAUAAUGAGACGUGCAAAAUAAAAAUACAAUCAAACGUACAAAGAAAAGUUUCCCCUUAGUUUUUUGGGGCCCACGAGAGGCAGCAGAGAUGAGCACAUACAAUUUUACCACUAUCCUCAAACCAGAGGAGUUGUAAUUUUCUUUUUGAUUGACAACUUUGAAAUGCUCCCAUAUGUUGAUGGAAUUGCUUUACAACUCAUAAAAUAGCAUUGAUAACGAAAGAGACAAAUUAAAUUAAUCCUGGAUCUAAUUCAAAGCAAAAUAAAUCAACAUAUAAUGAAAAUUUUCAAUAUAAAUUGAUCAAGCUCUCACUCGACAAGAUCUUAAAUUUUGUUUCUAAAGAUUUUAUUGUUUGAGAUAUUACAAUAAAGAUGAAAAUUCAAAUCUCACUUCUAUUUUAUACAUAAUGAAAAAACAAAUGAUCAAAACAGAAUAAAUAUAUCAAAAAGAAACAAAGAAGAGCUAAUUUAAUUAGCAAAUCAGUGAGACGGAAACCUGUGAGAAAUCAGGCGCUGGAGAAGAUAAAAGCUUAGUUGAAUGUUUUAUUGUUUUUGCUAUGCAAGCUUACAUGGAUUUAUAGUUACGAUUUGUUCUUGUAGUACAUAAACUGAAGUACAAGCUCUUGUACUGCAUGCUCUUCUCUUGCUUUUUAUUUUUCUUUUAAGACUAAAUUGCGAUGGGU